UAAUUAGAAGGCCCGGUGGAA
Molecule: non-coding RNA, 21 nt
Organism: Caenorhabditis elegans
Lineage: Eukaryota; Metazoa; Nematoda; Chromadorea; Rhabditida; Rhabditidae
Source: Ensembl